Penaeus vannamei (Pacific white shrimp) is the source of this 1664-nucleotide non-coding RNA. Lineage: Eukaryota; Metazoa; Arthropoda; Malacostraca; Decapoda; Penaeidae. The record is from RefSeq and is a predicted model, not a curated record.
CUCGCUUGCUCGUAUGUCGACGGCAGUGGUCACGUGUGUUUGUGUGCGUGCGCGUGCCUGGACUCUCCGAGAGGCGGUUUAGUAAGAACGUUCCGUGGCAGUGGCGAUGCACGAGCGUAGGGCGCUAGUGAUGGCGUGGCUCUUUUACAGUUUGUUGGUGUAUUUUACGUUAUUAAGUGGCGUGACAUGUUUGGUGCCCAUGAGUGGUUAUGGUAUGUGUAAGGAGGAAGUUGAAGCUAUGCAGGUAAGGCUGGAACGAGUACCGGAUUUCGCAGAGACCGUGCAAAGAGUAGAUAGAGGAAGAACAGGAGGUGGACAAGGUAAGGGAGAAAAUGGAGAUGGAGAAGAGAAAGAAAUAGAAGGGAAAGAAGGGGAUUUGGUGUGUUGGGGUUGGUAAAUAGGCAGAAGGAGUGGAAGAGAAGCAGGCUUGGCUUAUUAUAAAUGGUAUUUAAUGGAUAACUGUGUAACGCGAGUGGGUUACACGCUGAUAAUGAUGCGAUAGUGACGUCCUGUGGUGAGGUGGGUCGUGGCGGCCGGCGAUCUUGUGAUUUUUAUAUCAUCGCUUUAAUUCGUCACAUAUCUGAAAGCUUUUAAUUUCUACAUUUAACAACCAAAAUGGUCGCUUGUAACACCAUAGCAGGAUGCAACGAUUGGGCAACAUUAGAUAUACAUGUUAGGAACGUAUGGAAAAAAAAGAGCAGACACUCACCUUUCCCCGUGACCUUGAUCUGUAGAUUCAGCAGCAUCAUCACCCCCUCCGAUGAUGCACGUGACACGACAAUACUCAGAGGGUUUUACCACGGGGUAUAAGCGACACCAAGAGGUCAGUCGUUGCCGUCCAUUGCCACGGGGGUGUACGCGGCGCUGCCAUGUCACGCUCCUGCCUUACAGUUGAUGUCUCUGGCUCCCACUUACAACUUCGCCGGUGGGGGAUACCUUGAAAGCGGAUAUAAUGAUUGGAAAAAAAAGAGUAAAGGAUAUUUAGAGAGGAAGGAGAAAAUGCACAGUUCGUCGGGACGUUAGGAAACAAGUCGUAGGAGAGAAAAAAAAAUGCGAUGGAAUAAAAUGGCAUCGUCUCAAUGAAAUGCCAGGGGGCACCACGGCGGCGGUGGGCAUGCCUGAGACCGCAAGUGAUAUCCUUGCAUGCCCCUCGGCUCGGUCAGCGGCUGUGCGUUGGUCGUCUCGAGUAAGAGUUAAGUAACGACGGGGCUGUUUUUUUUUUCUCUCUCUCUCGGGCUGGGGCUAAGUCGUCAAGGAGCGGCGUGUGUGGAAUAUGUUAAGGGUGGAGCCUGCGUCAUACCCUCCACCUUGCUUUCCUGGGGUAUGCCGUCAAGUUCCUUGCCGUGCGAUCUAGUCCGGGAAUAGCAACGUGUUUCAUAAGGUUUUUGAGAGGCGCGGGUGUUUGUCCGUUUGGUUGUUUGCGUGCGUUGGCUGGUUGGCGUGGUGGGGCGGUAGGAGCUGGCGGCCAAGCAGAGUAUACGUCGUCCACAAGUCUGACUCACGGAUGAGCCAUGUAGGCUUUCUUCGGUCUCGCUGCGUGUCUGCUUUAUUCGGAUUAGAAUAUCCUUUGUCAUCCUAUCAAACCGUAAACACCGCUCUGCCGUAGCUUCUCUGCUCUCGAUUACACGCGCGCACGAGUGCACACAAACAUACAUGCGCGCGCA